Molecule: ribosomal RNA, 459 nt
Filed under: uncultured bacterium
Lineage: Bacteria
Description: partial 16S ribosomal RNA
Rfam family: Bacterial small subunit ribosomal RNA
Source: RNAcentral
CCUACGGGGUGCAGCAGUGAGGAAUAUUGGUCAAUGGCCGGGAGGCUGAACCAGCCAAGCCGCGUGAAGGACGAAGGUGCCAAGCAUUGUAAACUUCUUUUGUCAAGGGACAAAAUCAGGCUCGAGAGCCUGACCGAGGGUACUUGAAGAAAAAGCAUCGGCUAACUCCGUGCCAGCAGCCGCGGUAAUACGGAGGAUGCGAGCGUUAUCCGGAUUUAGUGGGUUAAAAGGGUGCGUAGGCGGGCUGUUAAGUCAGCGGUAAAAGCCCGGGGUUCAACCCCGGCGAGCCGUUGAAACUGGCUGUGUUGAGAUGUCGAGAGGUAUGCGGAAUGCGCAGUGUAGCUGUGAAAUGCUUAGAUAUUGCGCAGAACUCCGAUUGCGAAGGCAGCAUACCGGCGGCGAUCUGACGCUGAGGCACGAAAGCGUGGGUAUCGAACAGGAUUAGAUACCCGAGUAGUC